RNAcentral lists this long non-coding RNA (6655 nucleotides) under Ananas comosus (pineapple). RNAcentral's name for it is "long non-coding RNA (ACOM_LNC030262)". Lineage: Eukaryota; Viridiplantae; Streptophyta; Magnoliopsida; Poales; Bromeliaceae. The record is from RNAcentral.
UCCGAUCUGACCUGAACUACAUGAAGAUUGAGCUAAACCAAACCAAACCAUAAGUCGGCUCGACUUAAAUCAAAAUAUAAAGUAUUCAAGCUGAAUUACAAACUGGUUCAACUCAAACCCAAACCCAAAGACUGCGUUUGGUUCGGGUAUAAGUAAGAACUGCUUGUUCUAGGGAUAGGUACAAGUUCAAAUAUAAGCAGGAACUAGACCAAUUUUGCGUUUGGAUGAAAAUUGGGUUGUUCUUAGGAAUAAGAUAAAUAGUGUUUGGAUGGUUAGAAUGGAACAAGAGCAAUAAGAGUUAUAAUUUGAAAUUAAAAUUAUAUUUUGUAAUUAAUUAACAUCAAAAUAUUACUUAAAAAUAAAUAAUAAAUUAAUUAUUAAUAAUUAAUUAUAAAAUAAUAAUUAUUAAUAAUAAUUAAUUAUAAAAAAUAAAUUAAUAAUAUCGAUUAUCUAAUUAAUAAUAAUAAUAAUAAUUAAUAAUAAUUAAUAAAUAAUAAUAAUUAAUAAUUAUUAUUUAUUAAUUAUAAAUAAUAAAUUAAUAAUAAUAUCGAUUAUAUAAUUAUUAAUAAUAAUUAUUAUUAAUAUUUAUUAAUAAAUAAUAAUAAUUAUUAUUAAUAAAUUAUAAAUAAUAAAUUAAUAAUAAUAUCGAUUAUCUAAUUAUUAAGAAUAAUAAUAAUUAUUAAUUAAUUAUAAAUAAUAAAUAAAUAAAUUAUUAAUUAUUAAAGCAAUAAAUAAUGAUUUAAAUAUAUUAAUUAGAUUAAUUAAUAAUUCACUGCCAUUAAAAUUAAAUUUGGAUUUUAAUUAACCUUUUUCUUAUCAAGAAACAAGCUUAUUCCAGGAAAAGGGUGGAACAGCAGUUCCAGCCUUAUACCAGCUUGUUCUAGAAACUCGGGAAUUACUGUUCUCGGGUACCAAACAUACCGUUUGGGAAUAAAAGGGGGAACAAGGGCUUAUUCCCCUUGUUGUUCCCGAACCAAACGCUACCAAAAGGUUUUAAGUUGAGUCGGAAUGUAAGAGCUCAAUUUAAAUCAAACUCAAACAGAUCUUGAACCAAACCAUAUGGGUUCGAUCCAAACCGCAUUGAAUUAUAAGAAGGUCAAAGUUGAGCCAAGAUAUAAGGGCUCAACCCAACCCAAAAUUAAAGGGGGCUUGAACCAAGUCACAGAGGUUCGACUUAAACCAAGUCUCGACGGGCUCCGAACCAAAGCAUAAUGGUUCAACCCAAACCAAAUUCAAAGUGACCAAACAAACGUAAGGUCGUCCAACUCAAAUCAAACACGAAGGUUUUAAGUCAAUUCAACUUGAACCCAAUCGUGAUGAUUCGAGUUAAGUAAACCAGCUCCAUUCCAACCGAAGCAAAUUGGCGGUUCAAACUGAGCUAAAUUCAACUCAAUUGGCUAAGUCAACUUAAUCGACUCAUAAUCCGGAAACAAAUGUCCCUCAAGUCGUUAAACUGAACAAAUGACCCUCAAGUCGUUAAACUGAACAAGCAAAUCAAACUCAAUAUGACCAUAAAGUCGUUAAACUGACCAAUUAAAUCAAACUCAAUUUGACCACCAAGGCGUUAAAUUGGGUAAUCAAAUUAAACUCGAUUUGACCGUCAAGUCAUUAAACUGAGCAAAUUAAAAUGAAAUUCAAUCUCAAACCGACCGCCAUGUCAUCGACCGCCAAGUCGCUAAACUAAGUAUUCUAAUCUUAUAAAAUUCAUGUACAGUUGGGGUAUGCCCCUGCUUAAGCCAUGUACACGGCAAAUCGUAUUAAUAAAAUUUUAUCUGCUUGUUUUAUGUCUUUUACUAUCAGUAUUUAUAUUUGGUCUCUUAAUCGAGGGUUCCGUAACACCGAAAGUGUGGGGUAACAGCAGAUUCUUGAGUAUGUUGGAAGUCAUGAACCUAUAAUCUUAAUUUUAAAAUAAAACAUAAAUAGAUUUAACCUCUACCAUGAAUGACCACUCGCCUUAGAAAUACCUACGGCGGGGCCGGUUCGUUCGCGGCAGACGCUCUCCCAGUCAAACAUAAGACAAAUCAUAUUAGUCAUAUUAGCUCAGACCUGGGUGAAUCAAUUACAUAAUGUUUUCUUGCAAUGUAGAAGCUGAGAACAUCAGCUCUUUUGAGAUUCUUUCAGAUUCAUGGACUUUUUUGUGCCUUUGAUCAAGAUUGGGGAAUUGCUUAUAGUUCAUGGAUGUGUUGUGGUGAGGUAGGAUUUGGCAAUGAGUCUGGUUGGGUUAAGUUGAGGUGGCAUAGUAGGGUACAUAGGUUUGAUCCAAACUUGACGCCAUUUCUCUAGGAGACCAGCUUAGCUAGCGCUUAUUCAGGUUAUAAGUGCUACUUUGGUGAGGAUUUGCCUUAAAAAGCAACAAAAAUUUGGAGGAUAGAGCGUGAGAGAGAGAGAGAGAGAGAGAGAGAGAGAGAGAGUAGACCCUUUUCUUCUUUCAAUGUGCAACAAAGCAAACGAGGAUUCAAGGUUUAUUACUUUCCUUUUCUCCUUUCAAUGAACAACAAAGCUGACAAGGGUUUAAUAAUUGGCACUUUCCUAUGUAUGUGGGAGGGAGGAAGGGAAUGCACAACGAAGCAAACAAGGUUUCAAAUAUUAGUACUUUCCUAUGCAUAUAGGAGGGAGGGUGCAAGUAUAACAGAGCAGACGAGGGUUCAAGGAUUAGCACUUUCCUAUGUAUAGAGGAGAGAGAAUGGGCAUCAUUUCUUUUCUUUUCUUGGCGUCAUUCCUUUUCUUUUCUUGAUACAUGGUAAACUAGGAUAAAGUGGCAGCCUUAACAAAUAAUAUAGGGGCGAGAGAGUGGGAAGGGACGGCAGCCCCUCUUUGUUUCGGAUGCAUGCCAAAGAAAUGGUCCAAAUAAUAAUCUUUCAGUUGAGAAGAAAAAUCUAUUCUUUUUAAUGUAUCGACUAUUGAAUGCCCUUCGGUUAGGGCUGGCAAAUGAGCGAGCCGGCUCGUGUUCGACUCGCGUUCGACUCGAUAUUUGGCUCGCUCGAGCUCGACUCGAAAUUAAAUGACGAGCUUGAACAAAAAAAAAAGCUCGAAAUUCAUUUCAAGCCGAGCUUGAGUAUUACUCAGCUCGUUCGAAUUAGGCUUGAAAAGCUCGAAAAGCUCGAGUAUAUAUAUAUAUAUAUAUAUAUAUAUAUAUUACUAUGCUAUCGAAAGUAUAGAGGAUCUGGCGUUUUCGAUUUUUUGAUUCUUAGAUCAACUCCUUUAAUCAUUUCUUAUUUUUGGAUUAAUACUAUUAUUACCUUGUAAAACCACUUAAUUCUAGGGGUAUUAUUUAAUCCUAGGGGGGAUCGCAAUCAUUCCAACCAUACAAUUCUUAAUCAAAGGUCAAAAAUUCGAAAAUAUCAAAUUCUUUAUAUUUUCAAUAGCAUAGUAGUUCCACAUUAUAUAUAUAUAUAUAUAUAUAUAUAUAUAUAUAAAUUUAUAAUAAUAUUUUAAUUAUAUAUAGGCUGAGUGAAUAAUCUGAGUUUAGUUAAAAUUGGGCUAAUGUUGUUGGCCCAUAAAAAUAUUCCUAAUAGAACAAUAAAAGAGCGAAAUUUCACUAAAUUUAUACAUUUUUAAUUUCUUUUCUUUCUUUUAUAGAGCUUAAAUUCUCAAUAUGUUUCUCUCUUUCUCUUUUCUGUCUCUCACCCUAAGUGGCCAAGCCUGAAGCCCUCUAAGUUACCAAGUAACAGCAUAUACCCGCCGUUGCCUACCUUGCUAUUAAUUGUAUACUUGAGAAAUAUACAGAAUAUUUUUAAAGUAAAAAAUUAUUAUUCAUAUAAAAUUUUAAUUUUAGUUAUAUAUGAUUGGAUAGUUUAAUCCAAUAUUUAUCUAUAUAAUUUAUUUAUUUUUGACUGUAUAAAUGAAAAUAAAUAAUAUGGAGAUUGAAGGCGGAAGAAAAGACAUGUGAGGCUGAAAAGAUUAGAUAUUCAACUCAUAAAUUAUUUUUUUUCAUAUUAUAAUACUAUAUUUUGUAUAAUUAUUUUGUACUUUGAACUAUUAGACAUAUUUUUGUAUCAAAUUAUAGAUAAUGUUCUAUACAAAUUAAACUAUUGAUCGUAUGAUGUUGAGAAUUUCAAGCGGCUCGUUUAGGGCUCGAGCUCGCUCGACUCGAAAUUAGGCUCGCUCAAGCUCGGCUCGAAUUAAUUUCAAUCCAAACUUGAGCUUAAAUUUAGGCUCGAAAUUAAUUUCAAGCCGAAAUUGAGCCGAGGCAAGCUCGCUCGAGCUCGGCUCGUUUCCACCCCUGCCUUCGGUUUACCUAAAUAUAUCUGUAUGAAUGUUCUGAGAAGAACUAGUUGCCAUGACCUAUCCAAAAAAUAGUCUACCUGAGUUCAACCUUACCUGCCAACCUGUUAAAUGUUCUUGGCUUGUACUCGACACCUUUAACGAACAAAAGUGUUAAAAAUACCUUCUUGGGGUGGAGAUUGGCACAUCUAUGAUAGGUGAUUAUUUUGUAAAUCUUGAAACAUUGGUUGUAAAUCUUAAAACAUUGGUUCUGAUCUCCCGAAUAUUGUAAUUUGAUUCGAUAAUAGUUUCUACUCAAAUCUUUUAGAAAUGUGCCUUCUAUGUUAGAUAACUUGCUUUAGACUCAUGUAGCUUCUCUUAGUGCCCUGUUUUUGUGCUCAUAUGAAUACUUGUAUGAAUACACUCUUUUGCAGUUUUUGAUUGUCUAAGCAUGUAAGUCACAGUUGCUGAUUGCCAGUAAUCAUGCCUAUAAAUAUAAAAGAUUGCUGUACCAUGCGAUUUCAACCUUAUAUCUACCCAUUAGCUGUGACUUUUAGCCCCUACAGCUUUAUUUGUUGGCAUUGCUGCCAGCUGGACUUUUUGCAGAAUAAAAAAAAGAUAUUAGCAGGAAAGAAUUGUCAACACCCCAUUUUGCCUAUAAAAUGUUGUCUCGCAGUUGCUGCUCCUGUCAACCAUUAUGCCUAAGGCAGCGGCUGUUAUUUGCGAACUCCAAAUUUGUACUACUUUUAUGGCAUAAAAUGUUAAUUUUUGUUAACUAGUAUAGGGCCUGCACUGUGCGGCGGUAGGUGGUAUUUUAGACAAUUAGUAUAUUCAGUUAUUAAAAUUUUAAGAUUGAAAAAAUUAUAACUAAAGAAAUACAAAAGAGGAAAAAAAAACUAAAGUAGUCUUUUGUACAUUAUAAAAAAUAACUUUUUUAUUAAUAUUUUCUUAACUUUCAGCAUUUGUAAAAUUAAAUUAUACUAAUAAUUUUAUUUAAAAUUCAAUCAAAUUUUUUACUUUUGAUAGUUAUUUUGUAAAUAAAUUUUUUAACUGAAAAGUUGAAGUUGGAGGACUUAUUUUAAGUUGAAGAAUAGGUGAGGGUAUCUUUGUGUUAAGUAUAAAAAUAUAUAAACACCGUUCUCUAACAGCCUAAGCUUUUAGAUUAGAACGGUUGUUUUACAUAGUAUCAGAGUAGGUGGUGGUGAGUUCGAGUCACGCUAGGCUCUAGCAUUAUUAAUUUCCUCCCAUCCAUUUAAUUUAAGUUCACAUCGUAGGCCUUCUCGAGCCCAGACGUGAGGGGGAAUGUUAAAUAUAAAUAUAUAAACACCGUUUUCUAACAGCUUAAGCUUUUAGAGUACAAUGGUUGUUUUCUCACUUUGCCUUGUUAAAAUUGAUUGGAGAAAGAGAAACUAUUACAUGCACCUAGUGUAUAAUAAUACUCUAUACACCGCAACUUGUAUUAGAUGAUUAAUGCUCUAAUAUUAAAAUUUAAUUAAAUAUGUAUCAUCUACAAAGUCUAAUAAUUUAAAUUAUAUUUGAUGAAUUAAUUUUAAAAUCUCUAUUAAAGAGUUUUAGGCAUGUAGUGUAUGUACAAACAUACACUUGGUGUAGAGAAUGUUUAAUAAGAUGCACUCAUAAUUCCGAGAGAUUAGAGAAAUCUUUGCUUACACCUGGUGCGUACGAAUGCUCCAUACACCACACAGAAUAUUAGAUGAUUGAUAGAAUAUUUGAUAAUUAAUAUUGUAAAAUAAAAUAUGAUAUAAUAUAUAUAAUAUAAAAUAUCUAAAUAAUUUGUUGUACUACAGAAAUUUAUCUUUGAUGCACAUUUUAGAGUCGAUUUACGGUGAAAUGGGUGCGUCCAAAAUUUUUGUUGGAUAUGUGGCAAACUCCCAUUGGUUUAUGCCUUAAUUGGCAAUGUGGCUCUCUCACAAAGCAUUUUCUUGACGUGACCGAACUGUCAAAUUAUAUAUUGUGUAGAUUCCUGCUACUAUUUACCUUAAUAAUUACUCAUUGUAGUGGAGUUAACUAAUUAGGCUAUUGUUUGCAUAAAUUAUUUGACAAGACAUGCCUUUAUUCCAUUUAUAUAUAUCUAAACCGAUCUGUUCAUGUAAUUUAUUAAUAUCUGUUAAAAAUGUCUGGUUUCAGCAAUUAAGUUUUGUAUGUCCUCGUUCUUAGCCCUAGUAAUGUGUCAUUCUUUUAUAUUUUAUCAUUCUAUUUUAGGACUCUACUUUCUCGAUAUAUUGUAUAGUGUGCACAGAGCAUUUAUGAAAAGAACCCCCUUUAUAACAUAAAAAAUGCUGGAAUGAGGUCUCAUCAAACCAUUACAGAGACCAAAAGCAUGAAAAGUUUGUUACUCAAAUUUUCAUGAUACACAGCUAAACAUGAAAAUUUCUUUGUUUGUUUUGUUAAAUCGUUUGAUAUAUCUCCUCCAAGUCCAAUUUUAUACUUUAGG